This 460-nucleotide ribosomal RNA is filed under the name uncultured bacterium. Its description in RNAcentral is "partial 16S ribosomal RNA". It matches the Rfam family "Bacterial small subunit ribosomal RNA", at positions 338 to 795 of the family's 1533-position model. The record is from RNAcentral.
CCUACGGGCGGCAGCAGUGAGGAAUAUUGGUCACUGGACGAGAGUCUGAACCAGCCAAGUAGCGUGAAGGAUGACUGCCCUAUGGGUUGUAAACUUCUUUUAUAUGGGAAUAAACUGUUCCACGUGUGGGAUUUUGUAUGUACCAUAUGAAUAAGGAUCGGCUAACUCCGUGCCAGCAGCCGCGGUAAUACGGAGGAUCCGAGCGUUAUCCGGAUUUAUUGGGUUUAAAGGGAGCGUAGGUGGAUUGUUAAGUCAGUUGUGAAAGUUUGCGGCUCAACCGUAAAAUUGCAGUUGAAACUGGCAGUCUUGAGUACAGUAGAGGUGGGCGGAAUUCGUGGUGUAGCGGUGAAAUGCUUAGAUAUCACGAAGAACUCCGAUUGCGAAGGCAGUUCACUGGACUGCAACUGACACUGAGGCUCGAAAGUGUGGGUAUCAAACAGGAUUAGAUACCCGAGUAGUC